RNAcentral lists this ribosomal RNA (468 nucleotides) under uncultured bacterium. RNAcentral's name for it is "partial 16S ribosomal RNA". It matches the Rfam family "Bacterial small subunit ribosomal RNA", at positions 28 to 507 of the family's 1533-position model. The record is from RNAcentral.
GACGUACGCUGGCGGCGUGCUUAACACAUGCAAGUCGAACGGAAAGGCCCUGCUUUUGUGGGGUGCUCGAGUGGCGAACGGGUGAGUAACACGUGAGUAACCUGCCCUUGACUUUGGGAUGACUUCAGGAAACUGGGGCUAAUACCGGAUAGGAGCUCCUGCUGCAUGGUGGGGGUUGGAAAGUUUCGGCGGUUGGGGAUGGACUCGCGGCUUAUCAGCUUGUUGGUGGGGUAGUGGCUUACCAAGGCUUUGACGGGUAGCCGGCCUGAGAGGGUGACCGGCCACAUUGGGACUGAGAUACGGCCCAGACUCCUACGGGAGGCAGCAGUGGGGAAUAUUGCACAAUGGGCGGAAGCCUGAUGCAGCAACGCCGCGUGCGGGAUGACGGCCUUCGGGUUGUAAACCGCUUUCGCCUGUGACGAAGCGUGAGUGACGGUAAUGGGUAAAGAAGCACCGGCUAACUACGUG